This 497-nucleotide ribosomal RNA is filed under the name uncultured bacterium. RNAcentral's name for it is "partial 16S ribosomal RNA". It matches the Rfam family "Bacterial small subunit ribosomal RNA", at positions 28 to 507 of the family's 1533-position model. The record is from RNAcentral.
GAUGAACGCUGGCGGCGUGCCUAAUACAUGCAAGUCGAGCGAACGGACGAGAAGCUUGCUUCUCUGAUGUUAGCGGCGGACGGGUGAGUAACACGUGGAUAACCUACCUAUAAGACUGGGAUAACUUCGGGAAACCGGAGCUAAUACCGGAUCAUAUUUUGAACCGCAUGGUUCAAAAGUGAAAGACGGUUUUGCUGUCACUUAUAGAUGGAUCCGCGUUGCAUUAGCUAGUUGGUAAGGUAACGGCUUACCAAGGCAACGAUGCGUAGCCGACCUGAGAGGGUGAUCGGCCACACUGGAACUGAGACACGGUCCAGACUCCUACGGGAGGCAGCAGUAGGGAAUCUUCCGCAAUGGGCGAAAGCCUGACCCAGCAACACCGCGUGAGUGAUGAAGGUCUUCGGGUCGUAAAACUCUGUUAUUAGGGAAGAACAGAUGUGUAAUUAACUGUGGACAUCUUGACGGUACCUAAAGAAAAAGCCACGGCUAACUACGUG